This 4073-nucleotide long non-coding RNA is filed under the name Olea europaea subsp. europaea. The record is from RNAcentral. Lineage: Eukaryota; Viridiplantae; Streptophyta; Magnoliopsida; Lamiales; Oleaceae.
CGAAACUUAUAAAUUUAAUCCGGAUUUGAAUUUAACCCAACUAAUUAAUGAAAACAACCCCAAGGUAACAAAGACACGAAUGACCUUUUCAUUACACAAUUAAUUGAACCUUACCCGAGUUUUGAACGCCACAAGAUCGCGGAAUUUUGAUAAGUUCGGUUGUUCCACACAAGAACAAUUAUUGGAAGCGAAAAAGCCUCUCGAAUUAAUUUUCAAAAUAUCGAAGUCUUCGAAUACAAUAGUGAAAUAAAUUUCCUAUUUAUAUUAAUGUCUAGAAAUAUGGGGAAAAAAACCUGAUUUAAGAGUCCUAAAAUAAUAAACUUACCAAAAAUAAAAAAUUGAGUUAAAGUAGGAUUCUCGCGAGGAUACUGUAACUUUGGUCCCGAAGUAUACUAUGCGGCCGACUUUGGCCUAAUCCAGAUCAUAACAUCCCUUCUCUCUUCGAAAAGAUUCGACCUCGAAUCUGAACUUGGUUCAAAUACUUUGCACCUUCCAUCUGCUUGAUCAAUGUUGAACUCUUGAUUGAGCUUCUUGUACCCCGCGUUGCAAUGGUUGAUUAAUUCCUCUUCAAUGCUCCAAAGUUACUCCAUUUGUUGUACAUCAAUGAAAUACUUAAAUGGUGCUUUCUCAUGCAAUAAAUUUUUUUUCCUACAGUAAGGAAUGUUUCAAACUAGAGAGGAAUAUGUUAGCCUUCACCAACUCUCAUCCACCACCAAGCUCAAUCUUCUUUGCAUGUAAGCUCUCCUUUCAUUUUUCUUUCAUUUUCCCCUCAUCGCCUUUCAACCUCAACUAAUCAUCAUACACUUGUUGUGGUGUCAAAGGGACAAGUGUAACUGUUUUUCCAUCCAUGUCAAAGUUGUACCUAUUUCUAAAUCCAUCAUGCUUCACCUUCCUAUCAUAUUACCACGGCCUACCCAAUAAUAUAUGCCCUGCAUCCAUAGGCACAAUAUCACACAACACUUCAUCCUUAUACAUCUCAAUUGACAAAUUCAAUAACACCCUCUUGUUCACCUUAACCUCUCCAUAAUCAUCCAACCACUGUAAUCUAUAUGGUUUUGGGUGUUUAAUUGUUUUUAAACAUAACUUCUUGAUUAAUGUGGUACUAGCUAAAUUUGUGCAAUAACCUCCGUCAAUUAUUAAAUUACAUACCUUAUUUUCCACGUGGCAUCAUGUAUGGAAGAUAUUUUCCUGCUAUUGCUCCUCUUCAUCCACCUUGAUUUGCGAACUGAGUGCACGCAUCACCACCAAUGCGUCCCCUUCAACUGGGUACUCCACCCCGUCAUCAUCACUAACAUCUUCUAACUUGGGCAUUCCAUCUUCAUCACUGUCACUCACCACUUCCCCGCUGUCUUUCAAAACCAUGGCUCGUUUGUUUGGAUACUGAGAAAUAAUGUGUUCUAUCCCCAAGCAAUUGAAGCACUUGAUGUCCGGAUUCCUAACCAUGCCAGCGUUGUUAUCCUUUCCCCUAGGUGGUUCAAUUUUAUUGUUGACAACAGGCCAUUAACCUUCUCUUCAUCCCACCUAGACCUCCAAGAUGAAUUAGGCCCCUGUUGAUUCCUAGCUCCCCAUUUUCUCUUCAACUGUCUCUCAACCUUCAUUGCUACAUGCAACAUAUCCUCUAGUUCCAUGUAAUGCUGCAAUUCAACAAUAUUGGCGAUAUCCCUGUUCAACCCAUUCAGGAAUCGUGCCAUGGUGGCUACCCGGUCCUCCUUCACAUUAGCUCGAAUCAUUAGAAUUUCCAUCUCUUUAUGGCAAUCCUCUACACUCCUCGGCCCUUGGUACAAUCCCUGCAACAUUUAAUGAAGCUCCCUAUAAUAGUGGCCAGGCACAAACUGUUUUCUCAUCACCGCUUUCAACUCAUCGCAAGUAGUUAUCGGCCUCUCCCUAUUCCUCCGCCGUGAAGUGACCACCUGAUCCCACAGUGAACUCCAAGACUGCAACCUUUACUUUCUUCUUCUCCGAGUAGUUGUGGCACUCAAAUAUCAACUCCACCUUUUUCUCCCACUCAAGAAAUACCUCUGGAUCACUCCUACCCCGAAAUGUUGGAAUUGACAUUUUAAUGCUACCCAUACCUCCAUCACCGUCUUCUCCCCCAUAGUUUCUGCCCUUCAUUCAAACCUACAAUCUCUAUUCCUCAUCCGUCCCAUCUUUACUUCUUCAAAUUCAUCAUCAUCUCAUUCACUGCCAUACCCAUAUUCAUUUUGCAUAUUCACCCUAGGCUCUCGUCUAGCCAGCCUCCUAAUAUAUGGUAUGUCUGCCUGUUGACCCCGACUAAGGUUUGUAACCGUAGCGUCUAGCUCGUCCAACCUAUUCUCUACACAAAUUAUCAUGCGCUCAAAUCGCUGCAUCAUAUCGUCUGCCAUGUUAUUUUGAUUUCCAUCCUGCUCGAAGUGGAUCCUUCCCGUUCUGACAUUCUCACGAAUUUUAUUUCUCAUUAAAAUUUCACUCGGGAUCACUCAAUAUUUGACUUUUACCCUCAAUUAAACUCACCACUCAGCAUUUUACCACUCAAGCUUUCAAUCAAUGUCCAAAGAACAAUUUUCAAACUCAACGAGAAUGAUUCUUGUGGAAUUCCAAUUGAAUUGUGCAGAUUCAAGAUUAGGAAGAAAAAGGACUAAAGUAUUAAAUAGAAUUUUUGGAGGGACUAAAAAAAAUCAAUUUUUUUUAUUAAUGAACAGUACAGUACGGAUGAACAGUAACAUUAAAUUUUUUUAAAAAAACACAAAACAAUUAGAUUACUAAAAACUUUAGAUCUAGAACUAAAACUUAAUGGGAAACACGAAGAACAACGAAAACAAAGACUCAAAAAUAAGAAGAAAAAAACAAAGGGAUAUAACUUUGAUUCUGGUGCUUAAACUCUGAUACCACCUGAUGUGAACCCGGUAGCAACGAACACUAAUGAACCCGCAGAAGAAUAACACAAAUCCCAAGAAAGUCAAAAAUCAAAGUUUAGGACUCAAUUCACAAUUUUGGGAACUAAACAACCAAUAGUAUAUUAAACUAUUGACAUUUUGAUCACGAAACUUAUAAAUUUAAUCCAGAUUUGGAUUUAACCCAACCAAUUAAUGAAUCAAACAACCUCAAGGUAACAAAGACACGAAGGACCUUUUGAUUACACAAUUAAUUGAAUCUUACCCGAGUUUUGAACGCCACAAGAUUGCAAAAUAUUGAUAAGUUCGAUUAUUCCACACAAGAACAAAUAUUGGAAGCAAAAAAGCCUCUCGAAUUAAUUCUCAAAAUAUCUAAGUAUUCGAAUACAAUAAUGAAAUAAAUUUCCUAUUUAUACUAAAGUUUAGACAUAUGGAAAACCUGAUUUAAGAGUUCUGAAAUAAUAAACUUGCCAAAAAUAAGAAAUUGAGUCAAAAUAGGAUUCUUGCGAGGAAAUUGCAACUUUGGUCUCGAAGUAUACUUUGCGGCCGACUUUGGCCUAACCCGGAUCAUAUCAUCACCCAUGCCAUUCAAAUCACAAACCAUCAUCGUCACUGCCACCAACACUUGUGAUAACAACUACCACUCCGACCACCACCACGACCCACUACCAACAUCACACCACCCCAACUCAUCCCUAAUGUACUCUAGCCCAAUGGUAGAUCGAAACCUAGAACUCGACCAACAUCACCAACAACUCACAUCACAACCAUAACCAUCGCCAACAUCUCGACCACCAUAGCGCUACGUGUGUAGCGCCGUCACAAUAUCGUAGCUCGAUGGAUGCCGACGAUGUCUUUUCUUUCCAACGGUGUUUUCUAGCGAAAGCAGUGCCGCUUUGAGUUGCGUUGUCAAAGGCCACCAAAGUCUCACCACCAUCACGAUUCAGCACUGUUGCCAUUGCCACACCACCAUAGCACAUCACAAAAAAAAAAAAAAAAAAGAAACCCCCAAAUUUGACAUCGAAAUGGCCACCACGAUGAAGAAAAUGAAAAUAUAAACCUUGUCACCCAAAUUAGCAGUUAUCGCCGGAGCCGGAAUUGCUUUCUUAAGCUGCCAGAGAAAGAGAGAGAGAGAAAAAGAAGAUGGGUAAGAGAAGAAAUUGGAGAAUGAAAUUGAUUAGACUAAGUAAUUGGAGAGAGAAG